Molecule: non-coding RNA, 648 nt
Organism: Camelina sativa (false flax)
Lineage: Eukaryota; Viridiplantae; Streptophyta; Magnoliopsida; Brassicales; Brassicaceae
Source: RefSeq, a predicted model, not a curated record
UAUUCACUUGGCUUUUAAUGUUUUGGUACUAUAAAGGGUUGCAGCUUUAUUUGUUAAUAACUGUUGUUUAUUUCUGUUAAGGACGACGAUUCAACAUGAAUUUAGCGUUUUGAUCACUAGAGUUCGAUAAGUGAGUAUAGCAAGGAAUAGCACCAGCCAAGCACCAAGCUUGAGUUUUUACCAAAGACUUCUAGAACUUUGGUUUGAGAACUUAUCUACAGUUAGCUCUUUGCUUGAUGUAGAAGAUAUCUUCCCAAAUUUUGGGUCAUACUUUCUUAAAUUGCAGCAAGAACAAGUCUUCGACAAUGAAGCGCCAGUCGGAGUUUCACAGGGAGAGAGAACCAGAACGGUUGUGUACUGUUGGAAAGAAAAUGGUUGUGGAAUUGUGCGGGGGAGAAGAGGUAAAGAUCAGCUGGGAACCUAUUAAGCAAGAAGAGGAGCAUUUAGAAGAUGAUUGCUCAGAAAUACGGUAAGCUUUAGAAAAUAAACUUUGUUUCAUCUAGAGGGGAAGUUUGUUUCUCCUUUUCCUUUAUCUCAUAAAGUAGAGUAGAGUAGUUGAUGUUUUUGUAUAAGAUUUGGUUUGGAUUAAUAUUUGUAAAAUUUGAUAUGUUUUAUGGAUUUUCUAUAAAAAAUAUAUAUUUAAAUUUA